CAGGGGAAGCGACAGGUGACGAAGCUUAUGGAAAAAAAGACCAAAGGCCUCGAGGGAUGUUCUUCUUGACCCCCCGGGGCAAACGGAGGUGUCAGCGUCAGGAGCCAUCCUAACUGAGGCCCCGGUAGGCUGCCUCUUUCCCUUCGGUCGACGUGGACACUGUGCCGGACGCCUCUGGCAGGACUAACCCCGUGGCUUUUAUGUCCAACGUGCUGUGCUGUGUGUGCCUGCAGUAUCCUGUCCAAGACCAAGCUACCUUUCCUCGUGGGAAGGGACCGGCCGGGCUUUGGCAAUCUGGCCCCUCGAAAGACUAAAGUGACCUCUUCCAACAGGGGAAGACUGAAGCAAGCGGUGCCAGAAAGAACUGGAGUUUCUGGAGAAUAAAAGCUGGAAGCGUGCCCCCGAAAAUCCCCAGCCCCGGGUGGUCAGUGGUCUGACUUGCACGGACCGGUGGCCUUGGCCAGGAGCGGUCCUGCGGGAAGCGCCUUUGCCCAGCCUGUAAUUUUAAUUUCCAUUGGAUGCUUGGCAAAGCCCCCCUGGGUGAGCCCCAGUGCCUGGCAUGAGCGGAGCGGGCUUCCAGGGAGGCAUUCACCCGGUCAGCGUCAGGAACCAUCCUAACUGAGGCCUCGGUGAGUGACGAAGCUUAUGGAAAAAAAGACCAAAGGCCUCGAGGGAUGUUCUUCUUGACCCCCCGGGGCAAACGGAGGUGUCAGCGUCAGGAGCCAUCCUAACUGAGGCCCCGGUAGGCUGCCUCUUUCCCUUCGGUCGACGUGGACACUGUGCCGGACGCCUCUGGCAGGACUAACCCCGUGGCUUUUAUGUCCAACGUGCUGUGCUGUGUGUGCCUGCAGGACCUGGGUGAAAAGGACAUUCUCUGAGGUGCUGGGAGAAGGAGGACUCGUGCGGGCACCUCCAGAGACAGCGGGAACGGGAGCGUGCUGCGGAGAAGGAAAAUUCCAGGGGAAUUGCCACGAGAGGAAAUACCUCAGAGGGGCUUCCCUCCAGAUAAGCCCUGAAUAUGCCAGGAGGUUUCAGCCGGGAGAAAGGAGCUGUGGAAGAAAAGCAGCCUAAAAGUAGCCAGCGGGGAUCAUCAGGUUUUCCAGGCAAGAAGAACAAGGAGAGAGAUGAGGGAAUGGGGUUCCAAUUCCUAAUGAUUUGGUGGGUGCAGGAAUGAUUUGUGUGUGUUUUCCAGUCCCUUUUGAUUCCUGAGAUGAUUUUAAAAUGAUGGCUUUAGCAAUCAACUAAAUCGGAGAUGUUGUUUUUGAGAGGAAAUGGUGCCAAAUAAAUGCAGAGUUUUGGGUCA
Long non-coding RNA from Pseudopipra pipra, 1303 nucleotides. RefSeq lists it as uncharacterized. The record is from RefSeq and is a predicted model, not a curated record. The transcript has 10 exons. NCBI's taxonomy places the organism in Eukaryota, Metazoa, Chordata, Aves, Passeriformes, Pipridae.